GAUGAACGCUGGCGGCGUGCCUAAUACAUGCAAGUCGAGCGAACGGACGAGAAGCUUGCUUCUCUGAUGUUAGCGGCGGACGGGUGAGUAACACGUGGAUAACCUACCUAUAAGACUGGGAUAACUUCGGGAAACCGGAGCUAAUACCGGAUGAUAUUUUGAACCGCAUGGUUCAAAAGUGAAAGACGGUCUUGCUGUCACUUAUAGAUGGAUCCGCGCUGCAUUAGCUAGUUGGUAAGGUAACGGCUUACCAAGGCAACGAUGCAUAGCCGACCUGAGAGGGUGAUCGGCCACACUGGAACUGAGACACGGUCCAGCCUCCUACGGGAGGCAGCAGUAGGGAAUCUUCCGCGAUGGGCGAAAGCCUGACGGAGCAACGCCGCGUGAGUGAUGAAGGUCUUCGGAUCGUAAAACUCUGUUAUUAGGGAAGAACAUAUGUGUAAGUAACUGUGCACAUCUUGACGGUACCUAAUCAGAAAGCCACGGCUAACUACGUG
This 497-nucleotide ribosomal RNA is filed under the name uncultured bacterium. RNAcentral's name for it is "partial 16S ribosomal RNA". It matches the Rfam family "Bacterial small subunit ribosomal RNA", at positions 28 to 507 of the family's 1533-position model. The record is from RNAcentral.